Molecule: ribosomal RNA, 1433 nt
Filed under: uncultured bacterium
Lineage: Bacteria
Description: bacterial SSU rRNA
Rfam family: Bacterial small subunit ribosomal RNA
Source: RNAcentral
AGGCUUAACACAUGCAAGUCGAGGGGCAGCACAGGUAGCAAUACCGGGUGGCGACCGGCGCACGGGUGAGUAACGCGUAUGCAACUUGCCUAUCAGAGGGGGAUAACCCGGCGAAAGUCGGACUAAUACCGCAUGAAGCAUGGAUCCCGCAUGGGAAUAUUUGCUAAAGAUUCAUCGCUGAUAGAUAGGCAUGCGUUCCAUUAGGCAGUUGGCGGGGUAACGGCCCACCGAACCGACGAUGGAUAGCGGUUCUGAGAGGAAGGUCCCCCACAUUGGUACUGAGACACGGACCAUACUCCUACGGGAGGCAGCCGUGAGGAAUAUUGGUCAAUGGCCGAUAGGCUGAACCAGCCAAGUCGCGUGAGGGAUGAAGGUUCUAUGGAUCGUAAACCUCUUUUAUAAGGGAAUCAUGUGCGGGACGUGUCCCGCUUUGUAUGUACCUUAUGAAUAAGGAUCGACUAACUCCGUGCCAGCAGCCGCGGUAAUACGGAGGAGCCGAGCGUUAUCCGGAUUUAUUGGGUUUAAAGGGUGCGUAGGCGGCCUUUUAAGUCAGCGGUGAAAGUCUGUGGCUCAACCAUAGAAUUGCCGUUGAAACUGGGGGGCUUGAGUAUGUUUGAGGCAGGCGGAAUGCGUGGUGUAGCGGUGAAAUGCAUAGAUAUCACGCAGAACCCCGAUUGCGAAGGCAGCCUGCCGAGCCAUUACUGACGCUGAUGCACGAAAGCGUGGGGAUCAAACAGGAUUAGAUACCCUGGUAGUCCACGCAGUAAACGAUGAUCACUAGCUGUUUGCGAUACACUGUAAGCGGCACAGCGAAAGCGUUAAGUGAUCCACCUGGGGAGUACGCCGGCAACGGUGAAACUCAAAGGAAUUGACGGGGGCCCGCACAAGCGGAGGAACAUGUGGUUUAAUUCGAUGAUACGCGAGGAACCUUACCCGGGUUUGAACGCAUUCGGACCGAGGUGGAAACACCUUUUCUAGCAAUAGCCGUUUGCGAGGUGCUGCAUGGUUGUCGUCAGCUCGUGCCGUGAGGUGUCGGCUUAAGUGCCAUAACGAGCGCAACCCUUGCCACUAGUUACUAACAGGUAAAGCUGAGGACUCUGGUGGGACUGCCAGCGUAAGCUGCGAGGAAGGCGGGGAUGACGUCAAAUCAGCACGGCCCUUACAUCCGGGGCGACACACGUGUUACAAUGGCGUGGACAAAGGGAGGCCACCUGGCGACAGGGAGCGAAUCCCCAAACCACGUCUCAGUUCGGAUCGGAGUCUGCAACCCGACUCCGUGAAGCUGGAUUCGCUAGUAAUCGCGCAUCAGCCAUGGCGCGGUGAAUACGUUCCCGGGCCUUGUACACACCGCCCGUCAAGCCAUGGGAGCCGGGGGUACCUGAAGUCCGUAACCGCGAGGAUCGGCCUAGGGUAAAACUGGUGACUGGGGCUAA